CUGCACUUUGGGAUAAGCCUGGGAAACUGGGUCUAAUACCGAAUAUACCUUUGGAGUUGCAUGACUCUUGGGGGAAAGCUUUUGCGGUGUGGGAUGGGCCCGCGGCCUAUCAGCUUGUUGGUGGGGUGAUGGCCUACCAAGGCGACGACGGGUAGCCGGCCUGAGAGGGUGUCCGGCCACACUGGGACUGAGAUACGGCCCAGACUCCUACGGGAGGCAGCAGUGGGGAAUAUUGCACAAUGGGCGCAAGCCUGAUGCAGCGACGCCGCGUGGGGGAUGACGGCCUUCGGGUUGUAAACCUCUUUCAGCACAGACGAAGCGCAAGUGACGGUAUGUGCAGAAGAAGCACCGGCCAACUACGUGCCAGCAGCCGCGGUAAUACGUAGGGUGCGAGCGUUGUCCGGAAUUACUGGGCGUAAAGAGCUCGUAGGUGGUUUGUCGCGUUGUUCGUGAAAACUCACAGCUUAACUGUGGGCGUGCGGGCGAUACGGGCAGACUGGAGUACUGCAGGGGAGACUGGAAUUCCUGGUGUAGCGGUGGAAUGCGCAGAUAUCAGGAGGAACACCGGUGGCGAAGGCGGGUCUCUGGGCAGUAACUGACGCUGAGGAGCGAAAGCGUGGGGAGCGAACAGGAUUAGAUACCCUGGUAGUCCACGCCGUAAACGGUGGGUACUAGGUGUGGGUUUCCUUCCUUGGGAUCCGUGCCGUAGCUAACGCAUUAAGUACCCCGCCUGGGGAGUACGGCCGCAAGGCUAAAACUCAAAGGAAUUGACGGGGGCCCGCA
RNAcentral lists this ribosomal RNA (783 nucleotides) under Actinomycetes bacterium. Its description in RNAcentral is "bacterial SSU rRNA". It matches the Rfam family "Bacterial small subunit ribosomal RNA", at positions 131 to 925 of the family's 1533-position model. Lineage: Bacteria; Bacillati; Actinomycetota; Actinomycetes. The record is from RNAcentral.